GCUGCAUGGCUCGGUGUGAAAAACUCCGGUGGUAUGGGAUGGGCCCGCGUCUGAUUAGGCAGUUGGCGGGGUAACGGCCCACCAAACCGACGAUCAGUAGCCGGCCUGAGAGGGCGACCGGCCACAUUGGGACUGAGACACGGCCCAAACUCCUACGGGAGGCAGCAGUGGGGAAUACUGCACAAUGGGGGGAACCCUGAUGCAGCGACGCCGCGUGAGCGAAGAAGUAUUUCGGUAUGUAAAGCUCUAUCAGCAGGGAAGAUAAUGACGGUACCUGACUAAGAAGCCCCGGCUAACUACGUGCCAGCAGCCGCGGUAAUACGUAGGGGGCAAGCGUUAUCCGGAUUUACUGGGUGUAAAGGGAGCGUAGACGGCAAGGCAAGUCUGAUGUGAAAACCCAGGGCUUAACCCUGGGACUGCAUUGGAAACUGUCUGGCUCGAGUGCCGGAGAGGUAAGCGGAAUUCCUAGUGUAGCGGUGAAAUGCGUAGAUAUUAGGAAGAACACCAGUGGCGAAGGCGGCUUACUGGACGGUAACUGACGUUGAGGCUCGAAAGCGUGGGGAGCAAACAGGAUUAGAUACCCUGGUAGUCCACGCCGUA
This 600-nucleotide ribosomal RNA is filed under the name uncultured bacterium. Its description in RNAcentral is "bacterial SSU rRNA". It matches the Rfam family "Bacterial small subunit ribosomal RNA", at positions 185 to 804 of the family's 1533-position model. The record is from RNAcentral.